CCUAGCAUUACAUUUUUUAUCAUUUCCAGUACAGUCUUCCCAGGUUUCAAAGCUACCAGUUUGGUUAAGAAGUUAACCUCAGAUUCGGGAAGUGUUCUGAAACCACGGUCAUUUCUUUCAUCCAGUAUUCCACCUCCCAUCAUAUUUCUAGCUUCCUCUCUGAUUAAAACAAGCCUUGCAAGUAGUUUUCGAUCUGGAACAACUGGCCGAGUUUCCAUUGUCUCCAACAAAUCAUCUGCCUGGUUUGCUAUAUCAUUUAGAUUUGCUGCUGGAAUAUGAACUUUGGUUCCAUUCUUACUUUCAAAGACACCACCACCAGCAGCCACUCNNNNNNNNNNNNUAGUUCAUGCCUGCUUUCUUUCUCAGGAGUUCUGCAAAGCAAGCCAAUCACUUGAACAUGUGGUGGGCAUUUUUUGGUUAGAUGGGAUAAUACAGUUUCCUUGACAACUUCCAAUAGUGACUUGCGCUUAUCAUCUUGGUCCUUUUCAGCAACUUGAAUCAUGUAAUCUAGAGCCAUCAUAAACCCUGAUUCCAUCUCAUCAACUCUUUUCCCAAUGACACCUUGUGCAGCCAAUUCUACUGCCACCUUCUCAGAUGCUUCAUCCAUGUUCAUAUCCUCCAAAAGGGUAAUCAUUUCUUGGAGGACAGAAGUGACUUGUUCUCCGCCUUUGAGCACAGCUUCAUACUGGGAAGAGUCCAAUUUCUC
This 706-nucleotide unclassified non-coding RNA is filed under the name Hevea brasiliensis (rubber tree). The record is from RNAcentral. Lineage: Eukaryota; Viridiplantae; Streptophyta; Magnoliopsida; Malpighiales; Euphorbiaceae.